This 538-nucleotide long non-coding RNA is filed under the name Elaeis guineensis (African oil palm). Its description in RNAcentral is "long non-coding RNA (EGUI_LNC082265)". The record is from RNAcentral. Lineage: Eukaryota; Viridiplantae; Streptophyta; Magnoliopsida; Arecales; Arecaceae.
CUGUGGGGGCACAUUAGGGCGCUGUAAGGCCUCUCCCCCCAUCCGGUCUAAAAGAAUCGAGCCUUCAUUUUAGGUAUGUUAGGAUGAGGUUCUCCCCCCAUUCCUAACAUAACUUUGUUUUAGGCGUUUGAAGGGGUUAUACCCAGUCGUGACAAAUCCAUGCCAAAUGGGAAGAGCACGUCAAGUAGAAAGAAAUUUAGAUUCAAGGUGAAAUCGUAAGUGAUACAUUUACAGGUUUUUCGAGUUCCAUGAUUGCGGGAGGUCUGCUCCUCCUUGAGGCCCUCCGGUGAUGGAGUCGAUGGUCCCGAUGGGAGGCCGAUCCCCGGGUUGCUCCUCCCUUCUUGGCGGUUCAGGUUGCGGAAGGGCCCUUGGCCGAUCUCCUCUACCCUUAGGCCUGCGUCGAAUGAACUUGUCGAGUCAACCUCGUCGGAUGAGCUCCUCGAUCUCGUCUCGGAGCUGGAUGCAUUCCUCCGUGUCGUGGCCGUGGUCGCGGUGGUAGAGACAGAACUUGUUGGGGUUGUGCUUCCCGGGGUGUGUG